This 606-nucleotide long non-coding RNA is filed under the name Homo sapiens (human). RNAcentral's name for it is "non-protein coding lnc-ABI2-1:2". Lineage: Eukaryota; Metazoa; Chordata; Mammalia; Primates; Hominidae. The record is from RNAcentral.
CUAGCGCCCUGGGAGGCACAGCAGCCUCCAGCAGUUCUGUCAGGGAGCUGUACGCAUCCACCUUUAUACGCUGUCCGUGUAUUCAGAGACUCCAGAAACGCAUCCGGGGUUGGCUCGGUCACUUACAGGACCAUUGUCGUUGAGAUCUGUGAGGCCCUUCUUUAGGAAAUCCCAUUUUGGCCAAAAAGUCUCUGCAGUUUCAUGGAAUGUAUUGGGAAACUUAGGAACGGGACAUUUCGAUGACCUUUACUUUUUAAACUUCGAAAUCUGUUAAUCCUGCCUCCUUAAUUUCUGUCCCCCCACCCCAUCGGAAUUGUGUAGUAGUAAGGUGUCGGCAUUUUUCCUUAUCGCUAAGCUCAGCUGCUGCCUCUUUAGAUGCAGGCUUGACUUCGGCAGACUUUUAGAUUUUAAGUAUGUCCUUAUUUUGACCUUCACCUAAAGUUGAUCAAAGAAAGGAACAAAUGGAACUAAGUUAUGUUUGCUUGGCUACAUGCAAAGCAAGUUUGUUGACAGCAUUAAAACAAUUGAGAAAUUGGGAGUGUGACCUGAAAUUGGUUGCAAUGAACAUUGCUUUUUCAUGUCUUCCCAUCUGCUUGCUAAGAAUUU